RNAcentral lists this ribosomal RNA (226 nucleotides) under Belostoma sp. 78 TBG-2019. RNAcentral's name for it is "partial large subunit ribosomal RNA". Lineage: Eukaryota; Metazoa; Arthropoda; Insecta; Hemiptera; Belostomatidae. RNAcentral also lists the same sequence under 1 other name. The record is from RNAcentral.
CACUUGUCUCUUAAUUGGAGGCUUGAAUGAAGGGUUGGACGAGAUAUAAACUUUCUUUAUUAUAUAUAGUUGAAUUUGACUUUUGAGUCAAAAGGCUUAGAUUUAUUUAUAGGACGAGAAGACCCUAUAGAAUUUUAUAUUUUUAUUUAAUUAACCUAUUUGUUAAUAAUUGGGUUUUUUUAAUAUAAGUAUUUUGUUGGGGCGAUGGGAAGAUUUUUUUAACUCU